Selaginella moellendorffii is the source of this 130-nucleotide long non-coding RNA. RefSeq lists it as uncharacterized. The transcript has 2 exons. The record is from RefSeq and is a predicted model, not a curated record. NCBI's taxonomy places the organism in Eukaryota, Viridiplantae, Streptophyta, Lycopodiopsida, Selaginellales, Selaginellaceae.
GCCAUCUUUCUUCCAAGCUUUAACGAACAGUAUAAAUUAAGGAGGGGCUAUACAUGGUCGGCCAGAUUAUCAAAAUAAAUCAAGAGGUAUAAUUCAUAUAAACUAUAGAAAUGAAAUUCGGUUUACACAA